UGGGGAAUAUUGCACAAUGGGCGCAAGCCUUAUGCAGCCAUGCCGCGUGUAUGAAGAAGGCCUUCGGGUUGUAAAGUACUUUCAGCGGGGAGGAAGGGAGUAAAGUUAAUACCUUUACUCAUUGACGUUACCCGCAGAAGAAGCACCGGCUAACUCCGUGCCAGCAGCCGCGGUAAUACGGAGGGUGCAAGCAUUAAUCGGAAUUACUGGGCGUAAAGCGCACGCAGGCGGUUUGUUAAGUCAGAUGUGAAAUCCCCGGGCUCAACCUGGGAACUGCAUCUGAUACUGGCAAGCUUGAGUCUCGUAGAGGGGGGUAGAAUUCCAGGUGUAGCGGUGAAAUGCGUAGAGAUCUGGAGGAAUACCGGUGGCGAAGGCGGCCCCCUGGACGAAGACUGACGCUCAGGUGCGAAAGCGUGGGGAGCAAACAGG
Molecule: ribosomal RNA, 429 nt
Filed under: Chloroflexota bacterium
Lineage: Bacteria; Bacillati; Chloroflexota
Description: Chloroflexi bacterium partial 16S ribosomal RNA
Rfam family: Bacterial small subunit ribosomal RNA
Source: RNAcentral